ACAAAACUGAUCGUCGUGAAAUAUGUGUAAAUUAGUAAAUAAAAAAAUAUUCGUCGCAGUGCUAAAUAUAGAGUUACGUUUGGCCAAAGGCUCCGGAAAGUACGCAACGCGACAUUGGCAUUGAAUCGAUCUGCAGCACAACGAGCCGGUUUAUUGCCUUUCUUAUAAAUACUGACCUGCGGAUUUCAGUCCCAUUGAUAAAUCUGCAUCGACAGUGAAACGUUCGUCGCGAGAUGUACACGAAUCCGUUCUCGAGGACGCAUUCAACAAUUCGCCAUGUCAUUGACAACUUGUUCAACAAGGAUUUUGGCAAAGGUCACAAGGACAAUGGGAGAAAGUUCAGCACUUCGAGUGUGCAGAGUAAAAGUCAGGAGAGUUUUGGCGGUUGGAAGAGGAAAACUUCAAAUCAGUGACAACACAUUUGGAUUAGAAUCAUGAACAUCUAUAAACGGAAGGUUGUAAAUCAAACAAGGAGUACAAAUUAAGUGACUGAGUGUGACAAUUAAUAUAAGUAUUUAUGUGUUAAUUAUUUAUUAUUUAUUUUAAUUAUUAUCAAUAAAAUUUUGUUGAGUUGUCUAAAAUAA
Molecule: long non-coding RNA, 584 nt
Organism: Aethina tumida (small hive beetle)
Lineage: Eukaryota; Metazoa; Arthropoda; Insecta; Coleoptera; Nitidulidae
Exons: 2
Source: RefSeq, a predicted model, not a curated record